RNAcentral lists this unclassified non-coding RNA (22 nucleotides) under Chlamydomonas reinhardtii. RNAcentral's name for it is "small RNA Cre_2288". The record is from RNAcentral. Lineage: Eukaryota; Viridiplantae; Chlorophyta; Chlorophyceae; Chlamydomonadales; Chlamydomonadaceae.
UAGCACUUGCCCUCUGCUGCGC